UCCGGGGGGGGGGAGUGGCCAUAGACUGCCUUCCUGCCUCCAUUCCUAGCCUUGCGACUGACCUUACAGCUCUUCCAGUUCGUACAUGUAGACGGAAUGAGGGAAAUGGACGAUGGCCAUUGGGUAAAUACCUUAUAAUUGUUGCAGCCAAGAUCCCUGGGUGGAUCUGAAGUUCAAUAACGGGAAACCUCAUUUAGAAUGGAAUGGGGAGGCCGGCAGGGAAAGCUCUGCACCCUAGGACUUCUGGUCAAUCGCAGGCCCAAUAGGAAGUCCAGCGCCUCGCAAGUCCACAGUGUGUUAGCCACUACUGCGCAGGCCCAGCAAGAGGAAGUUUUUCCCUUGCCCCACAACAGCGCAGCCAAUGAGAGGCAGCCACAGCGCAGCCAAUGAGAGGCAGCCACAGCCCAGCCAAUGAGAGGCAGCCACAGCCCAGCCAAUGAGAAGCCACCACACCUGGCACCGCCGAGCUGCCUGCUCUGGACCCUUUGAAAGGAAACCGGCUCCAGAAACCAGAUGAUCACAGUCUUGCUGUGUUUCGCAGAGCAUGUUCCGGUUCCGCUGAUGUCUUCCCCAUUACCUCCCCUGCUGUGUUUGACCUUUAGCCCCUCACUGUGAAGGAUUCGGUUAGCGGCCAUGUGCCGUUGCUAACAAGAUACUUCAAUUGUGUGCUGUUUGAGUCUCCUACUGAAGAGAGGCAAAUGACAAACCGGGAAAGAGCUUCAACCAGCAGGACACAGGCUUUUGUGUCCAUCACGUGUGGGUUCCUGCCAGUUAGGGAAGACAGGAGCUUUUCCAGCAGGAAAGCAAGCCAGCCCGUGCACAGGCAACCUCAGACAGUACCGGGCACCCUCCUGCUGACGGAUCCCCCGCCAGUGGUGGAGAAGAGUGGCCCAUGUAUCAGCCUGGAAGAAACAGAUGCCUCUCCCUGCCACCUCCGCGACCGAGACUUUCGGCCAGCGGACACUUGACCUCUUGUAGCUGGCCUUCACCCAUCCUUCCUUCCUGUUGGCACCCCACUGACACUUCCGGGCUUCACUGUCAGGGUAGGAAUGUGACUGACUGGAGUUUGGCCAAUGGAUGCCGUCUCACGACAAUCUUGAGUACUGACUGGGAGGCAGGGGUAGAAGUUUCCGACGAAGAGUUCCUGCUUUGAGACAAAUGCAGGUUUCCAGCUGUCAAGGCUCCUGGAGCACGCCCAGUGUCCUUUCCCACCGGUUCUGUCAUUCUGUGACUUGUGACCAGUCCCCUCCUUCACUUUAAGUGAAAGACUA
Long non-coding RNA from Herpailurus yagouaroundi (jaguarundi), 1271 nucleotides. RefSeq lists it as uncharacterized. Lineage: Eukaryota; Metazoa; Chordata; Mammalia; Carnivora; Felidae. The transcript is spliced from 3 exons. The record is from RefSeq and is a predicted model, not a curated record.